AUGAACGCUGGCGGCGUGCCUCAUACCUGCCAGUCGAGCGAACGGACGAGAAGCUUGCUUCUCUGAUGUUAGCGGCGGACGGGUGAGUAACACGUGGAUAUCCUACCUAUAAGACUGGGAUAACUUCGGGAAACCGGAGCUAAUACCGGAUAAUAUUUUGAACCGCAUGGUUCAAAAGUGAAAGACGGUCUUGCUGUCACUUAUAGAUGGAUCCGCGCUGCAUUAGCUAGUUGGUAAGGUAACGGCUUACCAAGGCAACGAUGCAUAGCCGACCUGAGAGGGUGAUCGGCCACACUGGAACUGAGACACGGUCCAGACUCCUACGGGAGGCAGCAGUAGGGAAUCUUCCGCAAUGGGCGAAAGCCUGACGGAGCAACGCCGCGUGAGUGAUGAAGGUCUUCGGAUCGUAAAACUCCGUUAUUAGGGAAGAACAUAUGUGUAAGUAACUGUGCACAUCUUGACGGUACCUAAUCAGAAAGCCACGGCUAACUACGUG
This 496-nucleotide ribosomal RNA is filed under the name uncultured bacterium. Its description in RNAcentral is "partial 16S ribosomal RNA". It matches the Rfam family "Bacterial small subunit ribosomal RNA", at positions 29 to 507 of the family's 1533-position model. The record is from RNAcentral.